Molecule: long non-coding RNA, 427 nt
Filed under: Androctonus crassicauda
Lineage: Eukaryota; Metazoa; Arthropoda; Arachnida; Scorpiones; Buthidae
Source: RNAcentral
AUAAGACAUUUCAACAAAAAAUGAAACUUGGUCAAGAUGAAUGACAAUUAAAUGGAAUUGUGUAUGCAUAUAUUCAUACAUAUGACAUGCAGACCACAGCUACAAAUUCAAUAUUUGGAAUUAGAUGUGAUCUGUCAUACUUUGUUAUUUUUUCCCCGAUGGACAAUACCAACGUACUAUAUACAGAAUGAUGUCGGUGGCGGGCGUGUCAUUCUCCAAGGUAAUGUUCCAUUCGCCCAUUUCUCCAAAUUAACUCGGGGCAAAGAUAAAUUUUCAUCUCAGCAAAGCCACAUUCCUCCUGGCAAGCGGGAAGACAAUGAACCCCAAGGGUUUGAAAUACAUAUUGUAUGAAUGAUAAGAUGAAGCUGUGAAAAAAUAAGGAAUUGGGACUAAGGGAAAAAUAAGAUUCACAUGGUGAAUAUGGAAC